RNAcentral lists this ribosomal RNA (465 nucleotides) under uncultured bacterium. RNAcentral describes it as "partial 16S ribosomal RNA". It matches the Rfam family "Bacterial small subunit ribosomal RNA", at positions 339 to 795 of the family's 1533-position model. The record is from RNAcentral.
CUACGGGCGGCUGCAGUGGGGAAUAUUGGACAAUGGGGGAAACCCUGAUCCAGCAAUGCCGCGUGUGUGAAGAAGGCCUGCGGGUUGUAAAGCACUUUCGGUUGGGAGGACUGCUUCUAGCACUAAUAUUGUUGGAAGUUGACGUUACCUUCAGAAGAAGCACCGGCUAACUCCGUGCCAGCAGCUGCGGUAAUACGGAGGGUGCAAGCGUUAAUCGGAAUUACUGGGCGUAAAGCGCGCGUAGGCGGCUAGAUCAGUCGGGUGUGAAAGCCCCGGGCUUAACCUGGGAACUGCAUCCGAUACUGUCUAGCUUGAGGACAGGAGAGGGGAGUGGAAUUCCACAUGUAGCGGGGAAAUGCGUAGAUAUGUGGAGGAACACCAAUGGCGAAGGCAGCUCUCUGGCCUGAUACUGACGCUGAGGUGCGAAAGCGUGGGGAGCAAACAGGAUUAGAUACCCCCGUAGUC